Molecule: ribosomal RNA, 511 nt
Filed under: uncultured bacterium
Lineage: Bacteria
Description: bacterial SSU rRNA
Rfam family: Bacterial small subunit ribosomal RNA
Source: RNAcentral
UAGUCCUAGCUGUAAACGAUCUGCACUAGUCCGUGGGGACCCCCACAUCUUCUCGGACGUAGCGAAAGUGUUAAGUACAGCGCCUGGGGAGUAUGGUCGCAAGGCUGAAACUCAAAGGAAUUGACGGGGGCUCACACAAGCGGUGGAGGAUGUGGCUUAAUUCGAGGCUACGCGAAGAACCUUACCUAGGCUUAACAUGUUUGAGAAUUCCUAUGAAAGUAGGAAGUGCCCUUCGGGGAGCUCUUACGUAGGUGCUGCGUGGCUGUCGUCAGCUCGUGUCGUGAGAUGUCGGGUUAAGUCCCUUAACGAGCGAAACCCUUAUCAUUAGUUGCCAGCGAGUCAUGUCGGGGACUCUAGAGAGACUGCCGGCGUAAGCCGCGAGGAAGGUGGGGAUGACGUCAAAUCAUCAUGGCCUUUAUGCCCAGGGCUACACACGUGCUACAAUGGCCGGUACAGAGGGUCGCGAAGCCGCGAGGUGGAGCCAAUCUCAUAAAACCGGUCCCAGUUCGGA